CGGAUUGUAGUCUGCAACUCGACUACAUGAAGCUGGAAUCGCUAGUAAUCGCGAAUCAGAAUGUCGCGGUGAAUACGUUCCCGGGUCUCGUACACACCGCCCGUCACACCAUGGGAGUCAGUAACGCCCGAAGCCGGUGACCCAACCAAUUCAGGAGGGAGCCGUCGAAGGUGGGACCGAUAACUGGGGUGAAGUCGUAACAAGGUAUC
Molecule: ribosomal RNA, 209 nt
Filed under: uncultured bacterium
Lineage: Bacteria
Description: partial 16S ribosomal RNA
Rfam family: Bacterial small subunit ribosomal RNA
Source: RNAcentral